CCCAGACUCCUACGGGAGGCAGCAGUAGGGAAUCUUUCCACAAUGGACGAAAGUUUGAUGGAGCAACGCCGCGUGAGUGAAGAAGGUUUUGGAUUGUAAAACUCUGUUGUUGGAGAAGAAUGUAUCUGAUAGUAACUGAUCAGGUAGUGACGGUAUCCAACCAGAAAGCCACGGCUAACUACGUGCCAGCAGCCGCGGUAAUACGUAGGUGGCAAGCGUUGUCCGGAUUUAUUGGGCGUAAAGCGAGCGCAGGCGGUUUCUUAAGUCUGAUGUGAAAGCCUUCGGCUCAACCGAAGAAGUGCAUCGGAAACUGGGAAACUUGAGUGCAGAAGAGGACAGUGGAACUCCAUGUGUAGCGGUGAAAUGCGUAGAUAUAUGGAAGAACACCAGUGGCGAAGGCGGCUGUCUGGUCUGUAACUGACGCUGAGGCUCGAAAGCAUGGGUAGCAAACAGGAUUAGAUACCCUGGUAGUCCAUGCCGUAAACGAUGAGUGCUAGGUGUUGGAGGGUUUCCGCCCUUCAGUGCCGCAGCUAACGCAUUAAGCACUCCGCCUGGGGAGUACGACCGCAAGGUUGAAACUCAAAGGAAUUGACGGGGGCCCGCACAAGCGGUGGAGCAUGUGGUUUAAUUCGAAGCAACGCGAAGAACCUUACCAGGUCUUGACAUCCUUUGACCACUCUAGAGAUAGAGCUUUCCCUUCGGGGACAAAGUGACAGGUGGUGCAUGGUUGUCGUCAGCUCGUGUCGUGAGAUGUUGGGUUAAGUCCCGCAACGAGCGCAACCCUUAUUACUAGUUGCCAGCAUUUAGUUGGGCACUCUAGUGAGACUGCCGGUGACAAACCGGAGGAAGGUGGGGACGACGUCAAAUCAUCAUGCCCCUUAUGACCUGGGCUACACACGUGCUACAAUGGAUGGUACAACGAGUUGCGAGACCGCGAGGUUUAGCUAAUCUCUUAAAACCAUUCUCAGUUCGGAUUGUAGGCUGCAACUCGCCUACAUGAAGCCGGAAUCGCUAGUAAUCGCGGAUCAGCAUGCCGCGGUGAAUACGUUCCCGGGCCUUGUACACACCGCCCGUCACACCAUGAGAGUUUGUAACACCCAAAGCCGGUGAGGUAACCCUUCGGGGAGCCAGCCGUCUAAG
Molecule: ribosomal RNA, 1140 nt
Filed under: Latilactobacillus sakei
Lineage: Bacteria; Bacillati; Bacillota; Bacilli; Lactobacillales; Lactobacillaceae
Description: bacterial SSU rRNA
Rfam family: Bacterial small subunit ribosomal RNA
Source: RNAcentral